CCCGCUCAGAAACUUAAAGGAAUUGACGGGGCCCGCACAAGCGGUGGAGCAUGUGGUUUAAUUCGAUGAUACGCGAGGAACCUUACCUGGGCUCGAACGUAAGAUGACUGUAGGUGAAAGCUUACAUCUCUUCGGAGCAUUUUACGAGGUGCUGCAUGGUUGUCGUCAGCUCGUGCCGUGAGGUGUCGGGUUAAGUCCCAUAACGAGCGCAACCCCUACCUUUAGUUGCCAUCAGGUUAAGCUGGGGACUCUAAAGGAACUGCCUACGCAAGUAGUGAGGAAGGCGGGGAUGACGUCAAAUCAGCACGGCCCUUACGUCCAGGGCUACACACGUGCUACAAUGGCCGAUACAGAGGGCAGCUACCUGGUGACAGGAUGCAAAUCUCCAAAGUCGGUCUCAGUUCGGAUCGGAGUCUGCAACCCGACUCCGUGAAGUUGGAUUCGCUAGUAAUCGCGCAUCAGCCAUGGCGCGGUGAAUACGUUCCCGGGCCUU
Molecule: ribosomal RNA, 493 nt
Filed under: uncultured Sphingobacteriales bacterium
Lineage: Bacteria; Pseudomonadati; Bacteroidota; Sphingobacteriia; Sphingobacteriales
Description: bacterial SSU rRNA
Rfam family: Bacterial small subunit ribosomal RNA
Source: RNAcentral